This 487-nucleotide ribosomal RNA is filed under the name uncultured Desulfuromonas sp. RNAcentral describes it as "bacterial SSU rRNA". It matches the Rfam family "Bacterial small subunit ribosomal RNA", at positions 898 to 1382 of the family's 1533-position model. Lineage: Bacteria; Pseudomonadati; Thermodesulfobacteriota; Desulfuromonadia; Desulfuromonadales; Desulfuromonadaceae. The record is from RNAcentral.
AACUUAAAUGAAUUGACGGGGGCCCGCACAAGCGGUGGAGCAUGUGGUUUAAUUUCGACGCAACGCGCAGAACCUUACCUGGGCUUGACAUCCCGAUCGCACCUUUUGGAAACUUAAGGGUCAGUUCGGCUGGAUCGGUGACAGGUGCUGCAUGGCUGUCGUCAGCUCGUGUCGUGAGAUGUUGGGUUAAGUCCCGCAACGAGCGCAACCCUCGUCCUUAGUUGCCAGCAUUAAGUUGGGCACUCUAAGGAGACUGCCGGUGUUAAACCGGAGGAAGGCGGGGAUGACGUCAAGUCCUCAUGGCCCUUAUGUCCAGGGCUACACACGUGCUACAAUGGCCGGUACAAAGGGUAGCAAGACCGCGAGGUGGAGCCAACCCCAAAAAGCCGGUCUCAGUUCGGAUUGGAGUCUGCAACCCGACUCCAUGAAGUUGGAAUCGCUAGUAAUCGCGCAUCAGCAUGGCGCGGUGAAUACGUUCCCGGGCCUU